Molecule: ribosomal RNA, 440 nt
Filed under: uncultured bacterium
Lineage: Bacteria
Description: bacterial SSU rRNA
Rfam family: Bacterial small subunit ribosomal RNA
Source: RNAcentral
CCUACGGGUGGCACCAGUGGGGAAUAUUGGACAAUGGGCGCAAGCCUGAUCCAGCCAUGCCGCGUGAGUGAAGAAGGCCUUAGGGUUGUAAAGCUCUUUCACCGGUGAAGAUAAUGACGGUAACCGGAGAAGAAGCCCCGGCUAACUUCGUGCCAGCAGCCGCGGUAAUACGAAGGGGGCUAGCGUUGUUCGGAAUUACUGGGCGUAAAGCGCGCGUAGGCGGAUAGAUAAGUCAGAGGUGAAAUCCCGGGGCUCAACCCCGGAAUUGCCUUUGAUACUGUUUAUCUUGAGUGCAGAAGAGGUAAGUGGAAUUCCGAGUGUAGAGGUGAAAUUCGUAGAUAUUCGGAGGAACACCAGUGGCGAAGGCGGCUUACUGGUCUGCAACUGACACUGAGAGACGAAAGCUAGGGGAGCGAAUGGGAUUAGAUACCCUCGUAGUC